Homo sapiens (human) is the source of this 702-nucleotide long non-coding RNA. RefSeq lists it as uncharacterized. The record is from RefSeq and is a predicted model, not a curated record. The transcript has 3 exons. Lineage: Eukaryota; Metazoa; Chordata; Mammalia; Primates; Hominidae.
CUCAGCAGGAGCAGCCACUUGGGGGAAGCAGAGGGAAUAGAAAGGCACACAUUGCCAGCUCUGAGCAUGACUGGGUGGGGACAUUGUGUUGAAGCUCCUGGGAGCCUCAUUCAGCCCAAGUAGAUGUCCUUGACAUGUCAACACUCUCCCUACACAGGAGAAAAACAUGAGACUCGGAGUGGGCAGGGUGAUCUUGAAUCGGGGGUCUGGUCAGAUGGGUCUCUGUUCCUCGCCUCAGCUAUGGCCUUCAUGUGUGCUUCCACCAGCAGAGACCCCUUCCUGGACUUUGCCCCAGUGGAUGGACAGGAAACUGCCAGCCAUGCUGGCCACCACAACCAACUUUCACUGCCUGGCUCCUAGCAACCCCACUCUCUCCAUCUCCUGGCUGAAGAACCACAAGAGGUCUAAGGAGAGCAUCACAUCAGGAUAUUGAGCUAUGGCACCAGAAGUAGACCCUGAUCAUGGAGUGUGGUGCCCUCAGACUGCUUUCAUCCCACCUCUGUGAUGAAGAACAAGUGCAGCAGCCUUCAGCAGACAUGCAUGCUGGACAGCUGGGACUGCUGACCAACCAGAUGCAGUAAGGUGAAAUUCCACUGCAAAGUGUAUGGCAACUUAGUAUGUGGAGGUGAACAACAGCAAGGUGGGUGUCAAUGGCAUGCCCUAUGUGACUGUGCUUAGGUUAGCUGCUGCUGCUUGUCAGGA